GAUGAACGCUAGCGACAGGCCUAACACAUGCAAGUCGAGGGGCAACGGGGCGUAGCAAUACGCUGCCGGCGACCGGCGGAUGGGUGAGUAACGCGUAUGCAACCUGCCUUCAGCAGGGGGAUAGCCCGUUGAAAGACGGAUUAAUACCCCAUAACACAGGGGCUCCGCAUGGAGAUUAUUGUUAAAAGGGAUGCUUCCUUCGGGGGUAUUCCGGCUGAAGAUGGGCAUGCGUUCCAUUAGGUAGUUGGUUGAGGUAACGGCUCACCAAGCCUGCGAUGGAUAGGGGAACUGAGAGGUUGGUCCCCCACACUGGUACUGAGACACGGACCAGACUCCUACGGGAGGCAGCAGUGAGGAAUCUUGGUCAAUGGACGGAAGUCUGAACCAGCCAUGUCGCGUGAAGGAGGACGGCCCUAAGGGUUGUAAACUUCUUUUGCAGCGGAAUAAAGUAUUCCACGUGAUGGGAUAUUGCAAGUACGCUGCGAAUAAGGAUCGGCUAACUCCGU
RNAcentral lists this ribosomal RNA (506 nucleotides) under uncultured bacterium. RNAcentral describes it as "bacterial SSU rRNA". It matches the Rfam family "Bacterial small subunit ribosomal RNA", at positions 28 to 506 of the family's 1533-position model. The record is from RNAcentral.